This 433-nucleotide ribosomal RNA is filed under the name uncultured bacterium. RNAcentral describes it as "partial 16S ribosomal RNA". It matches the Rfam family "Bacterial small subunit ribosomal RNA", at positions 29 to 507 of the family's 1533-position model. The record is from RNAcentral.
AACGAACGCUGGCGGCAUGCCUAACACAUGCAAGUCGAACGAAGGCUUCGGCCUUAGUGGCGCACGGGUGCGUAACGCGUGGGAAUCUGCCCUUAGGUUCGGAAUAACAGUUAGAAAUGACUGCUAAUACCGGAUGAUGACGUAAGACCAAAGAUUUAUCGCCUGAGGAUGAGCCCGCGUAGGAUUAGCUAGUUGGUGUGGUAAAGGCGCACCAAGGCGACGAUCCUUAGCUGGUCUGAGAGGAUGAUCAGCCACACUGGGACUGAGACACGGCCCAGACUCCUACGGGAGGCAGCAGUGGGGAAUAUUGGACAAUGGGCGCAAGCCUGAUCCAGCAAUGCCGCGUGAGUGAUGAAGGCCUUAGGGUUGUAAAGCUCUUUUACCCGUGAUGAUAAUGACAGUAGCGGGAGAAUAAGCCCCGGCUAACUCCGUG